GACCCAGUGUGGCAUUGUGGUUUCGGUGUUAGGUUAUGACUCUAGAGACCAGGGUUCAAAUCCUUGCUGAGCCA
Molecule: non-coding RNA, 74 nt
Organism: Phrynosoma platyrhinos (Desert horned lizard)
Lineage: Eukaryota; Metazoa; Chordata; Lepidosauria; Squamata; Phrynosomatidae
Source: the annotation of a GenBank genome assembly